ACGCUAGCUACAGGCUUAACACAUGCAAGUCGAGGGGCAGCAUGGAAGAAGCUUGCUUCUUCUGAUGGCGACCGGCGCACGGGUGCGUAACGCGUAUCAAACCUGCCUCAUACUCGGGGAUAGCCUUGCGAAAGUAAGAUUAAUACCCGAUGUUGUUAUGUUACCGCAUGGUGAUAUAACCAAAGAUUUAUCGGUAUGAGAUGGUGAUGCGUCCGAUUAGGUAGUAGGCGGGGUAACGGCCCACCUAGCCUUCGAUCGGUAGGGGUUCUGAGAGGAGGGUCCCCCACACUGGAACUGAGACACGGUCCAGACUCCUACGGGAGGCAGCAGUGAGGAAUAUUGGUCAAUGGACGAAAGUCUGAACCAGCCAAGUAGCGUGCAGGAUGACGGCCCUCCGGGUUGUAAACUGCUUUUAGUUGGGAAUAAAAAGAGGGACGUGUCCCUCAUUGUAUGUACCUUCAGAAAAAGGACCGGCUAAUUCCGUGCCAGCAGCCGCGGUAAUACGGAAGGUCCAGGCGUUAUCCGGAUUUAUUGGGUUUAAAGGGAGCGUAGGCGGAUUAUUAAGUCAGUGGUGAAAGACGGUGGCUCAACCAUCGUUAGCCAUUGAAACUGGUAGUCUUGAGUGCAGACAGGGAUGCUGGAACUCGUGGUGUAGCGGUGAAAUGCUUAGAUAUCACGAUGAACUCCGAUCGCGAAGGCAGGUGUCCGGGCUGCAACUGACGCUGAGGCUCGAAAGUGUGGGUAUCAAACAGGAUUAGAUACCCUGGUAGUCCACACAGUAAACGAUGUAUACUCGCGGUUUGCGAUACAGUGUAAGCCGCCAAGCGAAAGCAUUAAGUAUACCACCUGGGGAGUACGCCGGCAACGGUGAAACUCAAAGGAAUUGACGGGGGCCCGCACAAGCGGAGGAACAUGUGGUUU
Molecule: ribosomal RNA, 921 nt
Filed under: uncultured bacterium
Lineage: Bacteria
Description: bacterial SSU rRNA
Rfam family: Bacterial small subunit ribosomal RNA
Source: RNAcentral